Pimephales promelas (fathead minnow) is the source of this 868-nucleotide non-coding RNA. NCBI's taxonomy places the organism in Eukaryota, Metazoa, Chordata, Actinopteri, Cypriniformes, Leuciscidae. The record is from RefSeq and is a predicted model, not a curated record.
UAAACAAAACUGUACUGAAUGUAUUGUGUAUGUUGUUUGUUUCUAGGAGAGCGUCAGCCCCUAAUUGACUUGAGGAAAAAAAUUGAAAAGGGCUGUGCCUUUGACAGUAUACCGCUCUUUGCUACAGAGGAAGCAUUAGGAAAGGGCAGAAGAGAGAAAGUGAAAAGGCCCCCAACAGAUGUUGGCGAGACUUCAUUUCUGGACCUGGAAAAUGCACCGGUAACAAACAAAAAAAAGAAGACCAAAAAUAUCAUUCAACAGAAGAUAAUGGCUGCAGUGAAACAAAGCUGCACUCAAAUACCGAAAUGCAUGAUGUUGUGCAGGAACUAAAAGACACAGUGGCCGAAUUUAAAAUGAUGUCAAAGCAGAAGCCUGACACUCCGCAGACCUCAUCUUUUUAGAACAUCGGUUCUCAAAUUCAAGAACCAUGCUCUGCUCAAGGAAGUGGGCAGGAAGACGAUUACAUCAAUUUGGGUGAAGGAGUGCGGAUCAAGAAAUGCCAGUUUGACAAGAUCAAUCCCCAAGAUUUUAAAAAAUUUACAAACGAGCUUCUCCUUGUAAUCUUUGGGCGAGAAACUCUUGCCACCCACUCUUUAAAUGGAAGAAAGGCAUCCAAUGCAGAGACCAGCAAGGAGGCACUUCCAGCUCACAAAGUGUCCAUCUUAAUCGACUACAUCCAAAAGAAAUUCAAUGUGUCUACAUCUAAUAUCAAGGCAGUCAUCCGAACCAAGCUUAACAACGAGGACAAGCUAUUCAAAAAACGAAACCUGCCUGAAUAAUGCCAAAAUUGGUUGCAAUUGUUACAUUGCAGUUUCACUAUUCUUCUUCUGUACUAAUUCAUAUGUGUGAAAAUAAAUAUUGUACUUGU